AUUCUCUGGUUUUUCUUCAGCUCACAUGCAUCUUUCACCUUUUACUAAAGAUUUCCAUGGAGAGAGACAUUUAUGUGUUUAUAACUAUUUUUUUAGCAGUUUAUUUAUAUAUUU
This 114-nucleotide small nuclear RNA is filed under the name Naja naja (Indian cobra). RNAcentral's name for it is "U5 spliceosomal RNA (ENSNNAG00000008285.1)". It matches the Rfam family "U5 spliceosomal RNA". Rfam says of the family: U5 RNA is a component of both types of known spliceosome. Lineage: Eukaryota; Metazoa; Chordata; Lepidosauria; Squamata; Elapidae. The record is from Rfam by way of RNAcentral.